Molecule: ribosomal RNA, 507 nt
Filed under: Basiria gracilis
Lineage: Eukaryota; Metazoa; Nematoda; Chromadorea; Rhabditida; Tylenchidae
Description: SSU rRNA
Rfam family: Eukaryotic small subunit ribosomal RNA
Source: RNAcentral
CGCGAAUAGCUCAUUACAACAGCUAUAAUUUACUUGAUCUUGACAAUCCUACUUGGAUAACUGUGGUAAUUCUAGAGCUAAUACAUGCACCAAAGCUCCGACCGCAAGGAAGGAGUGCAUUUAUUAGAACAAAACCAAGCACCUUCGGGUGUUUUUUGUUGACUCAGAAUAACUCAGCUGAUCGCAUGGUCUUGUACCGGCGACGUGUCUUUCAACUAUCUGCCUUAUCAACUUUCGACGGUAGCGUAUCGGACUACCAUGGCGGUGACGGGUAACGGAGGAUAAGGGUUCGACUCCGGAGAAGGGGCCUGAGAAAUGGCCACUACGUCUAAGGAUGGCAGCAGGCGCGCAAAUUACCCACUCUCAGCACACACUGAGGAGGUAGUGACGAGAAAUAACGAGACCGUUCUCUUUGAGGCCGGUCAUCGGAAUGGGUACAAUCUAAACCCUUUAACGAGUAUCUAUGAGAGGGCAAGUCUGGUGCCAGCAGCCGCGGUAAUUCCAGCU